AGCGACUGUUUACCAAAAACACAGGUGCAUGCCAAGACGUAAGUCGCCGUAUAUGCACUGACGCCUGCCCGGUGCCGGAAGGUUAAGAGGAUCCGUCAGCCUUUGUGGUGAAGCGGUGAAUUCAAGCCCCGGUAAACGGCGGUGGUAACUAUAACCAUCCUAAGGUAGCGAAAUUCCUUGUCGGGUAAGUUCCGACCUGCACGAAUGGCGUAACGACUUCCCCGCUGUCUCGACCAGGAGCUCGGCGAAAUUGCAGUACGAGUAAAGAUGCUCGUUAAGCGCAGAAGGACGAAAAGACCCCGGGACCUUUACUAUACCUUGGUAUUGUCGUUAGGUGUGGAUUGUGUAGCAUAGGCGGGAGACGUUGAUGCCGUGGCGCCAGCCAUGGUUGAGUCGCAAGGUGAAAUACCGCUCUGUCCAUAUUUGGCGUCUAACCUCGACGAGUGAGCCUCGUCAGGGACAGUGCCUGGCGGGUAGUUUAACUGGGGCGGUUGCCUCCCAAAGAGUAACGGAGGCGCUCAAAGGUCCGCUCAGCCCGGUUGGCAAUCGGGUGUCGAGUGCAAUCGCACAAGCGGGCUUGACUGUGAGACCGACGGGUCGAGCAGGGACGAAAGUCGGAGAUAGUGAUCCGGUGCCGGCGCACGGGCGCGGCAUCGCUCAACGGAUAAAAGGUACCCCGGGGAUAACAGGCUGAUCAUUCCCAAGAGUCCAUAUCGACGGGAUGGUUUGGCACCUCGAUGUCGGCUCGUCGCAUCCUGGGGCUGGAGCAGGUCCCAAGGGUUCGGCUGUUCGCCGAUUAAAGCGGCACGCGAGCUGGGUUCAGAACGUCGUGAGACAGUUUGGUCUCUAUCCUCUGCGCUCGUAGGAAUCCUGAGGAGGCCUGCCCAUAGUACGAGAGGACCUGGGUGGACGAACCUCUGGUAUGCCGGUCGUCACGCCAGUGGCGCGGCCGGUUGGCUACGUUCGGGAGGGAUAACCGCUGAAAGCAUCUAAGCGGGAAGCCCGCUCCAAGAUAAGGAUUCCAUACGCGCCUUCGGGCGUGUUGAAGGCCCCAUGUAGAACACGUGGUUGAUAGGCCGGGCGUGGAAGCCCCGCGAGGGGUGGAGCUGACCGGUACUAACGGCCGAACGGCAAACAUCA
RNAcentral lists this ribosomal RNA (1140 nucleotides) under Bifidobacterium tsurumiense DSM 17777. RNAcentral's name for it is "bacterial LSU rRNA". It matches the Rfam family "Bacterial large subunit ribosomal RNA", at positions 1795 to 2925 of the family's 2925-position model. Lineage: Bacteria; Bacillati; Actinomycetota; Actinomycetes; Bifidobacteriales; Bifidobacteriaceae. The record is from RNAcentral.